UCAGAAGAGAAUGAGCUAGCAAACUGCGU
RNAcentral lists this small RNA (29 nucleotides) under Bombyx mori (domestic silkworm). RNAcentral describes it as "ovarian small RNA-25548". Lineage: Eukaryota; Metazoa; Arthropoda; Insecta; Lepidoptera; Bombycidae. The record is from RNAcentral.